RNAcentral lists this ribosomal RNA (943 nucleotides) under uncultured Bacillota bacterium. Its description in RNAcentral is "bacterial SSU rRNA". It matches the Rfam family "Bacterial small subunit ribosomal RNA", at positions 1 to 916 of the family's 1533-position model. The record is from RNAcentral. Lineage: Bacteria; Bacillati; Bacillota.
GGAUCCAGACUUUGAUCCUGGCUCAGGACGAACGCUGGCGGCGUGCUUAACACAUGCAAGUCGUACGAGACGAUUGAAAGCUUGCUUUUGAGAGUCGAGUGGCAAACGGGUGAGUAACGCGUAGACAACCUGCCGUAAAGAUGGGGACAACAGUUCGAAAGGACUGCUAAUACCGAAUGUUGUAGAGUUUCCGCAUGGGGAUCCUACUAAAGGUGGCCUCUACUUGUAAGCUAUCGCUUUACGAUGGGUCUGCGUCUGAUUAGCUAGUUGGUGGGGUAACGGCCUACCAAGGCGACGAUCAGUAGCCGGUCUGAGAGGAUGAACGGCCACAUUGGAACUGAGACACGGUCCAGACUCCUACGGGAGGCAGCAGUGGGGAAUCUUCCGCAAUGGGCGCAAGCCUGACGGAGCAACGCCGCGUGAGUGAAGAAGGGUUUCGACUCGUAAAGCUCUGUUGUCGGGGACGAAUGUGGAGAUGGUGAAUAACCAUUUUCAAUGACGGUACCUGACGAGGAAGCCACGGCUAACUACGUGCCAGCAGCCGCGGUAAUACGUAGGUGGCGAGCGUUGUCCGGAAUUAUUGGGCGUAAAGGGAGCGCAGGCGGGAAGGUAAGUCUAUCUUAAAAGUGCGGGGCUCAACCCCGUGAGGGGAUGGAAACUAUCUUUCUUGAGUGCAGGAGAGGAAAGCGGAAUUCCUAGUGUAGCGGUGAAAUGCGUAGAUAUUAGGAGGAACACCAGUGGCGAAGGCGGCUUUCUGGACUGUAACUGACGCUGAGGCUCGAAAGCGUGGGGAGCGAACAGGAUUAGAUACCCUGGUAGUCCACGCCGUAAACGAUGAAUGCUAGGUGUAGGAGGUAUCGACCCCUUCUGUGCCGGAGUUAACGCAAUAAGCAUUCCGCCUGGGGAGUACGGCCGCAAGGCUGCAACUCAAAUGAAUUGACGG